AUACGGAGGAUGCGAGCGUUAUCCGGAUUUAUUGGGUUUAAAGGGAGCGUAGGUGGGAUAUUAAGUCAGCUGUGAAAGUUUGGGGCUCAACCUUAAAAUUGCAGUUGAUACUGGUUUCCUUGAGUACGGUACAGGUGGGCGGAAUUCGUGGUGUAGCGGUGAAAUGCUUAGAUAUCACGAAGAACUCCGAUCGCGAAGGCAGCUCACCGGGCCGGAACUGACACUGAUGCUCGAAAGUGCGGGUAUCAAACAGGAUUAGAUACCCUGGUAGUCCGCACAGUAAACGAUGAGUACUCGCUGUUUGCGAUACACGGUAAGCGGCCAAGCGAAAGCGUUAAGUAUUCCACCUGGGGAGUACGCCGGCAACGGUGAAACUCAAAUGAAUUGGCGGGG
RNAcentral lists this ribosomal RNA (393 nucleotides) under uncultured bacterium. RNAcentral's name for it is "partial 16S ribosomal RNA". It matches the Rfam family "Bacterial small subunit ribosomal RNA", at positions 523 to 918 of the family's 1533-position model. The record is from RNAcentral.